Molecule: ribosomal RNA, 679 nt
Filed under: Lactococcus lactis subsp. lactis
Lineage: Bacteria; Bacillati; Bacillota; Bacilli; Lactobacillales; Streptococcaceae
Description: bacterial SSU rRNA
Rfam family: Bacterial small subunit ribosomal RNA
Source: RNAcentral
UUUAGAUGUUUGUAUCUUGGCUCAGGACGAACGCUGGCGGCGUGCCUAAUACAUGCAAGUUGAGCGCUGAAGGUUGGUACUUGUACCGACUGGAUGAGCAGCGAACGGGUGAGUAACGCGUGGGGAAUCUGCCUUUGAGCGGGGGACAACAUUUGGAAACGAAUGCUAAUACCGCAUAAAAACUUUAAACACAAGUUUUAAGUUUGAAAGAUGCAAUUGCAUCACUCAAAGAUGAUCCCGCGUUGUAUUAGCUAGUUGGUGAGGUAAAGGCUCACCAAGGCGAUGAUACAUAGCCGACCUGAGAGGGUGAUCGGCCACAUUGGGACUGAGACACGGCCCAAACUCCUACGGGAGGCAGCAGUAGGGAAUCUUCGGCAAUGGACGAAAGUCUGACCGAGCAACGCCGCGUGAGUGAAGAAGGUUUUCGGAUCGUAAAACUCUGUUGGUAGAGAAGAACGUUGGUGAGAGUGGAAAGCUCAUCAAGUGACGGUAACUACCCAGAAAGGGACGGCUAACUACGUGCCAGCAGCCGCGGUAAUACGUAGGUCCCGAGCGUUGUCCGGAUUUAUUGGGCGUAAAGCGAGCGCAGGUGGUUUAUUAAGUCUGGUGUAAAAGGCAGUGGCUCAACCAUUGUAUGCAUUGGAAACUGGUAGACUUGAGUGCAGAGAGAGAGAUUUAC